RNAcentral lists this ribosomal RNA (329 nucleotides) under uncultured eukaryote. RNAcentral describes it as "partial 18S ribosomal RNA". It matches the Rfam family "Eukaryotic small subunit ribosomal RNA", at positions 1470 to 1796 of the family's 1831-position model. The record is from RNAcentral.
CCCUUAGAUGUCCUGGGCCGCACGUGCGCUACACUGAGUGUCUGAGAUACGAGUCUGCCUGGUCCGGCAAGGUCUAGGUAAUCGCUAAAAGACACAUCAUGCUUGGGAUAGAUUAUUGCAAAUAUUAAUCUUGAACGAGGAAUUCCUAGUAAGCGCAAGUCAACAGCUUGCGUUGAUUACGUCCCUGCCCUUUGUACACACCGCCCGUCGCUACUACUGAUUGGAUGUUUAAGCGAGGUUCUCGAACUGCUAGCGACUUAGCUUCGGUGAGGUCGCAGUGUGGGAAGUGAACCUAGCUUUGGCGUCUAGAGGAAGUAAAAGUCGUAACA